AUUGAACGCUGGCGGAAUGCUUUACACAUGCAAGUCGAACGGCAGCACGGGGGCAACCCUGGUGGCGAGUGGCGAACGGGUGAGUAAUACAUCGGAACGUGCCCAGUCGUGGGGGAUAACGCAGCGAAAGCUGUGCUAAUACCGCAUACGAUCUACGGAUGAAAGCGGGGGACCGUAAGGCCUCGCGCGAUUGGAGCGGCCGAUGGCAGAUUAGGUAGUUGGUGGGGUAAAGGCUCACCAAGCCGACGAUCUGUAGCUGGUCUGAGAGGACGACCAGCCACACUGGGACUGAGACACGGCCCAGACUCCUACGGGAGGCAGCAGUGGGGAAUUUUGGACAAUGGGCGCAAGCCUGAUCCAGCCAUUCCGCGUGCAGGAUGAAGGCCCUCGGGUUGUAAACUGCUUUUGUACGGAACGAAAAGGCGGCCUCUAAUACAGGUUGCUACUGACGGUACCGUAAGAAUAAGCACCGGCUAACUACGUGCCAGCCGCCGCAGUAA
This 500-nucleotide ribosomal RNA is filed under the name uncultured bacterium. RNAcentral describes it as "partial 16S ribosomal RNA". It matches the Rfam family "Bacterial small subunit ribosomal RNA", at positions 29 to 523 of the family's 1533-position model. The record is from RNAcentral.